UGGAGUUCAAUUCGUACCCUUUGCAAAACCGAAGACCCAGUACGAAAAAUGUCUUUGAUGGAUCAAACUUUGUGGAAGACCGUACGAUCAACAGAAUCCAUCAACCGGAACAGAUAUGUUUGCACAAAGAUGACGACUUUUGAACCUUGGGAGAGAAAAGGCUGACUGCACAAUUACUGUGUUGACCUGCUGCUCCUAGUCCCCCGAGAUGUACGGGAGAAGCAAAGAGAGCCUUACUCUUCGAGUUCACCCUUCACAGUCCUGUUUAAGAAGUUGUUCCCUUUCUGUCUGGACCCUGCACCUGCAGUCUUUUGAAACUCCUUGACCAAAAAAACAUUUUUGCUUCAACUACAGCCUUAGCCACCAUCGUAAAAAAAUAUCUGCAUCACAGCAGGCUGUGUGCACUCAUCCUAAUAAAAGUUUGUUUCCAUGAAGAUGCAUUCAGGGGGGGAAAAUGCAUAGAAUUUAAUAGAUUCACCCUGGCACCUAAUUCAUUGCUUUUUGUUUUGCCCACAGUGAAAAAAACACCUAAAAUAUAAUGAAAAACAUUGUCAUUUAAAAGCUCUGGGAAAACCGGAUCAACAGUCAUUCAAAUGCAGGCAAAAUAUACCUCUGACCUUCUUGUCUUGUUAAGCUUUAAGGUAGACAUUUUUA
Molecule: long non-coding RNA, 654 nt
Organism: Syngnathoides biaculeatus (alligator pipefish)
Lineage: Eukaryota; Metazoa; Chordata; Actinopteri; Syngnathiformes; Syngnathidae
Exons: 3
Source: RefSeq, a predicted model, not a curated record